CGCCUGUUUUUCAAAAACAUAGCCCAAAGAUUUAUUUUGGGUAAAUUCUGCCCAGCGUAAUUUAUUAGCGGCCGCAGUACUUUGACUGUGCUAAGGUAGCAUAAUCAAUUGGCUUUUAAUUGUAGUCUGGAAUGAAAGGACUAAUAGGGGUUAGCUGUCUCUAUACUAUUAUUUUGAAUUUAUUUAUUAAGUGAAAAUACUUAUACAAAGAAAAAAGACGAGAAGACCCUUAGAAUUUUAAUAAAAUAUUUAAUAAUUUUUUUUUGUUGGGGCGACAUUGAAACAAUUAAACUUUCAUUAACAAUCAAGACAUUUAGGUUUGAAAGAAUAAAUUACCUUAGGGAUAACAGCAUAAUUAAUUAUUUAGUUUGUGACCUCGAUGUUGGACUAGGAACUAGAAGAUUAACCGUCUAAAUAGAUGUCGUCGA
RNAcentral lists this ribosomal RNA (428 nucleotides) under Pseudosuccinea columella. RNAcentral's name for it is "partial 16S ribosomal RNA". It matches the Rfam family "Bacterial large subunit ribosomal RNA", at positions 1796 to 2622 of the family's 2925-position model. The record is from RNAcentral. Lineage: Eukaryota; Metazoa; Mollusca; Gastropoda; Lymnaeidae.